This 755-nucleotide ribosomal RNA is filed under the name Arthroleptis kidogo. Its description in RNAcentral is "partial 16S ribosomal RNA". It matches the Rfam family "Bacterial large subunit ribosomal RNA", at positions 1434 to 2541 of the family's 2925-position model. Lineage: Eukaryota; Metazoa; Chordata; Amphibia; Anura; Arthroleptidae. The record is from RNAcentral.
UAAUACUGUAAUGAGGACAAAACCCUAAUCUUAAUAUUGAGCGUUUUUAUAAUUUAUGAAAGAUAUAAUGUUGGAACUAGUAACUAGAGAAUUUCUCCUAAAUGUAAGUGUAUAUCAAAUGGAAUUUUAAUUUAUUGUAAUAACUUUUCAAGAAAUUUUUACUAAAUCAAACAUUAAACUUACAUAAGAAUAUUUUAGGAAAGAUUAAAACAAAAAGAAGGAAUUCGGCAAAUUUAAGUCUCGCCUGUUUACCAAAAACAUCACCUCUUGAUAAGAUAUAGGAGGCUUAGCCUGCCCAGUGAUUAAUUUAACGGCCGCGGUACCCUAACUGCGCGAAGGUAGCACAAUCACUUGUUCUUUAAAUAAGGACCAGUAUGAAUGGCGUCACGAGGACUUUACUGUCUUCUUUUUGUGGUCAGUGAAACUGAUCUUCCCGUGAAGAAGCGGGAAUAAAAAUAUAAGACGAGAAGACCCUAUGAAGCUUUAAAUUAAAUAGCAAUUGUUAUUUGUUUAAUCAAUCUAGUUUAGCGAAUUUGACUAUUAGUUUUAGGUUGGGGUGACUGAGGAGUAAAAUAGAACCUCCUUAAUGAAAGGAAUAUCUAUAAUUCAAGAAUGACAGUUCUAAAAAUCAAAAUAUUGACAUAAGUUGAUCCAGAUUUCUGAUCAAUGAAUCAAGUUACUCUAGGGAUAACAGCGCAAUCCAUUUUGAGAGUUCAUAUCGACAAUUGGGUUUACGACCUCGAUGUUGGAUCAGG